Small nucleolar RNA from Boleophthalmus pectinirostris (great blue-spotted mudskipper), 82 nucleotides. RefSeq annotates it as small nucleolar RNA SNORD66. The transcript has a single exon. The record is from RefSeq and is a predicted model, not a curated record. Lineage: Eukaryota; Metazoa; Chordata; Actinopteri; Gobiiformes; Gobiidae.
CUCUGUUGGAAUGACCAUUAAUUUUGCAUCACCUGUCUGGGCCAAUGAAUCUCGGUGAUCUUGGUAUUUAGAAACUAAAGAG